UGACAAUAGCGUCUUGGGUAUGAGAGAAUCAGUGACACGAUGUGAUCAGCUUCCCAAGACAUCUGUUGUUUUUUUUUCCAUCUUUUGGGAAACAACACUUAACAGAUGCAUCCUAACCAAAUUCAUCUAUAAAUAGAGGCAUUACAAGAUAGAUGGAUAGAUAGAGUUAGUUGAGAAUAAGGAGGAAAAUAAGAUCUGAAAGAAGAAUGACAAUGAUGAUGAUGCUAACUGGACAAAGCUUUCUAGAUGUGAUGGUAGCUGGGAUUUCUUUAAUGAUAGGUUUAGGAAUCUUCGGAUUCAUUGCUUCUGUUCUUUGUUCUGCUGCUUUUGUGUACCAUGCUAAGGAAGUAUCCUGAAAAAACACAACGAGAGAGAAAAGAUGUAAAACAGUUUGUAAUGAAAAAGCAGCUGGAUAAAAACAACAACUAGUAGUAGCAUUAGUAGUAGAUCACCACGAGGAUGAAAUAAAUGGUUUUUUGUUUAGUAGGAAAAUAUUCUUCUAAUGGUUCAACCCAGAGACACCAAGGAAUGACUGAAAUAGAGAAAUAGCUGAAAUUGUAAUGCAUAUGAACCAGCUGAGUGCAAUGUUGUAACCUUUCUUGUAUUGCAACAAUGUCAUAUUAUCUACCGGCAAAGAGUUAAUAUGAACGGCAUGGAGUUUACUUUAUACUAUUGUUGGUUCACUACUCA
Molecule: long non-coding RNA, 690 nt
Organism: Papaver somniferum (opium poppy)
Lineage: Eukaryota; Viridiplantae; Streptophyta; Magnoliopsida; Ranunculales; Papaveraceae
Exons: 2
Source: RefSeq, a predicted model, not a curated record